GAUGAACGCUGGCGGCGUGCCUAAUACAUGCAAGUCGAGCGAACAGACGAGGAGCUUGCUCCUCUGACGUUAGCGGCGGACGGGUGAGUAACACGUGGAUAACCUACCUAUAAGACUGGGAUAACUUCGGGAAACCGGAGCUAAUACCGGAUAACAUGUUGAACCGCAUGGUUCAACAGUGAAAGACGGUCUUGCUGUCACUUAUAGAUGGAUCCGCGCCGCAUUAGCUAGUUGGUAAGGUAACGGCUUACCAAGGCAACGAUGCGUAGCCGACCUGAGAGGGUGAUAGGCCACACUGGAACUGAGACACGGUCCAGACUCCUACGGGAGGCAGCAGUAGGGAAUCUUCCGCAAUGGGCGAAAUCCUGACGGAGCAACGCCGCGUGAGUGAAGAAGGUCUUCGGAUCGUAAAACUCUGUUAUUAGGGAAGAACAAAUGUGUAAGUAACUAUGCACGUCUUGACGGUACCUAAUCAGAAAGCCACGGCUAACUACGUG
RNAcentral lists this ribosomal RNA (497 nucleotides) under uncultured bacterium. RNAcentral's name for it is "partial 16S ribosomal RNA". It matches the Rfam family "Bacterial small subunit ribosomal RNA", at positions 28 to 507 of the family's 1533-position model. The record is from RNAcentral.